GUAACACGUAGGUAACCUGCCCAUGUGCCCGGGAUAACUUCUGGAAACGGAUGCUAAAACCGGAUAGGUAGCAGACAAGCAUUUGACUGCUAUUAAAGUGGCUAAGGCCAUGAACAUGGAUGGACCUGCGGUGCAUUAGCUAGUUGGUGAGGUAACGGCCCACCAAGGCGACGAUGCAUAGCCGGCCUGAGAGGGCGGACGGCCACAUUGGGACUGAGACACGGCCCAAACUCCUACGGGAGGAGCAUG
RNAcentral lists this ribosomal RNA (249 nucleotides) under uncultured bacterium. RNAcentral's name for it is "partial 16S ribosomal RNA". It matches the Rfam family "Bacterial small subunit ribosomal RNA", at positions 110 to 348 of the family's 1533-position model. The record is from RNAcentral.